Pseudophryne corroboree (corroboree frog) is the source of this 868-nucleotide long non-coding RNA. RefSeq lists it as uncharacterized. Lineage: Eukaryota; Metazoa; Chordata; Amphibia; Anura; Myobatrachidae. The record is from RefSeq and is a predicted model, not a curated record. The transcript has 4 exons.
UUGAGGAAGGUGGUAGUCGCUUCCCACAUGUUAUUGGGGUUGUGGAUGGCACACAUGUAGCUAUUCAGCCACCAAAACAUAAUGAAGAAAUUUAUAGAAACAGGAAACUGUUUCAUUCUCUGAAUGUAAUGGUUGUUUGUGGGCCAUCCCUCCAGAUCCUUUCCCUGAAUGCAAAGUUUACUGGAAGUUCCCAUGAUGCGUAUGUCAUUAGACAAUCAGGGAUAUGGCACAGAUUAAGAUCAAGUCAACGAGCAGACAUGUGGUUAUUGGGAGACCGUGGAUAUCCUUGCACCCCCUGGCUCAUGACUCCUUACCGUAAUCCCAGGCCAGGACCACAGACGGCAUUUAACUCCGCGCUUACUGCCACUAGGCAGCUGGUGGAGCGCACAAUUGGGGUCCUUAAAGGGCGGUUUCGUGUGCUCCACCGCACUGGUGGCGACAUCAUGUAUUCGCCGGAGAUGGCAAGUAAACUAGUGGUCCUGUGCGCUAUACUACACAACAUCGCGGUAAGGAGUAGCGUAGAGCUUCCUCAGACAGAGGAAUUGCCUGAUGAGGAGCCAGGGGUUGUCCGACACUUCGGUGGGGGGAGUGUUACACGGAGGGGGAGCCAAGUCAGGGCAAGCAUUGUUGCGGAAUAUUUCAGCUGAAUGAUCACACAAACUGUGGACGACCACAACGGCAAGCAACACAUGAGGCACCAUCUCAGCCCCCUUCCCCUUCUCACUCCCCCUCCACUUCCCAGUCCCCCUCCCCUUCUCACUCCCCCUCCCCUUCCCAAUCCCCCUCAGCUUCCCAGUCCCCCUCAGCUUCCCAAUCCCCCUCUGCUUCCCAGUCCCCCUCAGCUUCCCAGUCCCCCUCAGCUUCCCAA